GAUGAACGCUGGCGGCGUGCCUAAUACAUGCAAGUCGAGCGAACGGACGAGAAGCUUGCUUCUCUGAUGUUAGCGGCGGACGGGUGAGUAACACGUGGAUAACCUACCUAUAAGACUGGGAUAACUUCGGGAAACCGGAGCUAAUACCGGAUAAUAUUUUGAACCGCAUGGUUCAAAAGUGAAAGACGGUCUUGCUGUCACUUAUAGAUGGAUCCGCGCUGCAUUAGCUAGUUGGUAAGGUAACGGCUUACCAAGGCAACGAUGCAUAGCCGACCUGAGAGGGUGAUCGGCCACACUGGAACUGGGACACGGUCCAGACUCCUACGGGAGGCAGCAGUAGGGAAUCUUCCGCAAUGGGCGAAAGCCUGACGGAGCAACGCCGCGUGAGUGAUGAAGGUCUCCGGAUCGUAAAAGUCUGUUAUUAGGGAACACCAUAUGUGUAAGUAACUGUGCACAUCUUGACGGUACCUAAUCAGAAAGCCACGGCUAACUACGUG
This 497-nucleotide ribosomal RNA is filed under the name uncultured bacterium. RNAcentral's name for it is "partial 16S ribosomal RNA". It matches the Rfam family "Bacterial small subunit ribosomal RNA", at positions 28 to 507 of the family's 1533-position model. The record is from RNAcentral.